This 2137-nucleotide unclassified non-coding RNA is filed under the name Polistes fuscatus (common paper wasp). RNAcentral describes it as "autophagy protein 12-like, transcript variant X1". The record is from RNAcentral. Lineage: Eukaryota; Metazoa; Arthropoda; Insecta; Hymenoptera; Vespidae.
CUCAAAUUUAACAAUAGUACACAAAUGCGGUUCUAAGUGUUAACAUAGGUUAUUCGAAUGUUUAAUAAUGAUGUGAUAACAACAAAUAUAUUAAGAACAACGAAUGUGUUUUUGACGUAGUCAAUACACGAUUCUAUUUCAUGAUUCAUUUGUGGUCGUUUCAUUUAUUAUAAUAAGUUAUUAAUAAGUUAAGUUGUUAAGUUAAUAAUAAGUUUCAAAUAAUGGCUGAAAAGGAAAGUGAUAGUACGACAAGUGAGGUUAUAAAAACUGAAGAAUUAACUGAUAACACAACAAAUGAGGAAGCACCAACAAGUUUGGAAAAUAUAUCACAGGAUACUAAUACUAGUAGAAACGAUAGUCCCCCAGUUGCUUCAAAAGAUAAAGAAAGAGUUACAGUUGAUAUUUUAUUGAAAGCAACUGGCAAUGCACCUAUCAUGAAACAAAAAAAAUGGUCUGUUAAUCAGGAUUAUCAAAUUGGAAAGUUUCUUUAUGUAAAUCAAACUUUUGCACCAGCACCAGAUCAAACGUUAAAAAACUUAUACGAUUGCUAUGGAGCUGAUGGAAAAUUGAUCAUUCAUUAUUGCAAAAGUCCAGCGUGGGGUUAAUCGUAAACUUCCUGUUUGAUGUUUGAGCAUCAUGUUGUAUCAUUUUAUUACGGAGACGCACGGCGUUGGCUAGACGAUGAUACGGAGUUCGUCGUUUCAAUUGCCUUUGCCGGGCUACAUUUAGAACUAAGCAAUGAUCUUUUUUCCAUCUUAUUCGCGCAACGACAAACAUUAGAGGAUACUUCAGUUUUCACAGUUCUUACCUGAAAUACAAAAUAUUUAUUAAGUCGUAUACUAAGAGAACAUAAUCAAUGUUAUUUUUACAUAAAAUCAAAUUUAGCAUUUUAAUUAGAAUUUAAUUGUACCAACCGAUAUUGUGUCUUUGUCUUUGAUGCACGUGCAAACUGGGGAAGGUAUACCAGCUGGAUCGCGCGUACAUAGCUGUGGCUGAUCAUCACCUAUGAUAUAUUUAUAUUAAAUUUAAUAGAAUUACUUUAUUUAUCGGAAUACGUUGAAUCGUAUGAAUAAUAAUGUUAAUUUUGUUAUUACCAUUGUACAUAGUUCUAACACUUUCAGCAGUCUCAUCCACACGGCUCAUAGCAGAAACAUGUUCUUUCUCUAAAUUUUCCAACUUUAAAUUGUCGUCGCGUUUCCCUUCAGAUUUCUUUAAUGACUUAACGGUAUGUGCAGUCUCAGAUUUCGAUUUGGUGGAUGGUGUUUUAAGAGACGUCUUAAAUGGAAACUUCCAAAUAAUGAUAGCGCCAUCGGCGCUAACGGAUACCACAUGUUCCCCAUCUGGACUAAAUUUACACGCAGUUAUUAUCGCGGCAUGACCUAUGCCAAUGUGUGUGACAUUGGCUGUGUGAUAUUCCCAGAGCUUAACAAUACAAUCGUUUGAACCAGUGACGAAGUAUUGUCCAUCAAGAUUAAUGUCUAUGCAAUUUAAUGAUCCUGAGGUGGAACCUUCUACUUCACGAACCAACGAACCAUCCCAUGUUUCCCAGUAUGCAAUCUUACGAUCAGUACCACAAGUCAAGAUUUGUAUGCUGUUGGGACUGAAGCAUGCAGCCAUAUACAUCGUGUUACCUAUUAAAACUUGCUUUCUCGAGCAACGUCUGUUUGAUUAAUAUUUAUUGUCCAUCAAUUUAUCACAUCCCAAAAAAUAAAUAAUAUUGUAAAUAGUUAAAAAUUGAUACUUGCAUUAUGUCCCAUAUUACGCAUGAACCAUCCGUGCUAGAACUAAUCAAGUCCUCGUUAUUGGAGGAUAUACACAAAGAUGUUAUGGGUCCUCUGUGUUCUUUUAAAAUUGAGACCAAUCGUUGUACAUCGGGUUUUAUGUCCCAUAUACGCACCUAUAGACAAUAUUAAAGAAAGAAGAUGAAAAUGAUAUAAGAGGAUAAUAAAUGUGUAAAAUAAUAAUUACCUGCCCAUCGCAGCCACCGCUGAUUAAUCUUUUCCCGUCUGCUGUUAUCGCAACUGCCGAUGCUGCUUUUAUAUGAGCGUUGUGAAUAGUAAAAAUAAGUUUACCCUUUUGUGGUGUGAACGCUCUUACAAUACCAUCGUUCCACGCUGAAUAAAUUUAAUAAAUAGAA